CGAUGGACCUUAGGCGGGGGGAUAGGGGCCCCUUGAACCGUAAACCCUCUAUAUGACGGGCUAACAGCUGAGGCUGAGGCGUCAAAGGCUAUUGAGAUCUUCCUUUCCGAAACAGUGACUAUCCGUCUCUUGUGGCUGGCGGUCAAUGAGGAACUUCCGUAGGGAAGUUAAUUUCAUUGUUCAUCAGACGAAUCUGGCCAGGCUCGGGAGAGAGCAACCUAAGUUUGGGCGUUCAGCGCUCAAGGGGGUGCGGAUAAGAGCGUAGGGUUUGAGGAUUCUCGAUGGAUUCUGGGCGUCAAACCACAGUGGUCCAUCG
RNAcentral lists this signal recognition particle RNA (316 nucleotides) under Candidatus Bathyarchaeota archaeon. Its description in RNAcentral is "signal recognition particle sRNA". It matches the Rfam family "Archaeal signal recognition particle RNA". Lineage: Archaea; Thermoproteati; Candidatus Bathyarchaeota. The record is from RNAcentral.